GUUGUACUGGCGAAUCGGAGUUUUAAUGAAGUGGGUGUGAUUACUCUUGACUUUUUUGUGAAAUCGAAGUUACAUCUGUGAUUGAAGAAUUAAAAGGGUGUCUAUAGAAUUGAGUAUGCGGAGUGAAUGAAAUUUAUUGGGUUAAUCUAACAAGACAGUCAGUGGAUACAAGGUCGUGAGUAUAAAGUGGUAUUAGAGAUUAGCAGAUCGGGUUGUUCGAGGUUCUCUGUAACGUCU
RNAcentral lists this long non-coding RNA (237 nucleotides) under Physcomitrium patens. Its description in RNAcentral is "long non-coding RNA (PPAT_LNC008091)". The record is from RNAcentral. Lineage: Eukaryota; Viridiplantae; Streptophyta; Bryopsida; Funariales; Funariaceae.